RNAcentral lists this small nuclear RNA (148 nucleotides) under Calidris pugnax (ruff). RNAcentral's name for it is "U1 spliceosomal RNA (ENSCPUG00000017545.1)". Lineage: Eukaryota; Metazoa; Chordata; Aves; Charadriiformes; Scolopacidae. The record is from RNAcentral.
ACACUCACCUGGCAAAGGGGAGCAGCCCACGGGGGGUUCCAAUCCACUUCUUGCACCUCGGGGGUGCUGACCCCCCUGAUUUACCACCACAUGGGAAACUGGACUGCGGAAUUGGAGGCAGCAGGGGCUGUGUUCAUGGUGUCUCCUG